CCCUUCGGGGUACACGAGAGGCGGACGGCUGAGUAACGCGUGGGAACGCACCCUACACUGAGGGAUAAGAUACCGAAAGGUGUUCUAAUACCGCAUACGGUCUUCGGAUUAAAGUCUUCGGACGGUGAAGGAGCGGCCCGCGUCAUAUUAGGUAGUUGGUGGGGUAAUGGCCUACCAAGCCGAUGAUGUGUAGCUGGUCUGAGAGGAUGAUCAGCCAGACUGGAACUGAGAACGGUCCAGACUCCUACGGGAGGCAGCAGCU
Molecule: ribosomal RNA, 262 nt
Filed under: uncultured Rhodocista sp.
Lineage: Bacteria; Pseudomonadati; Pseudomonadota; Alphaproteobacteria; Rhodospirillales; Azospirillaceae
Description: partial 16S ribosomal RNA
Rfam family: Bacterial small subunit ribosomal RNA
Source: RNAcentral